RNAcentral lists this small nucleolar RNA (106 nucleotides) under Gossypium hirsutum (cotton). RNAcentral's name for it is "Plant small nucleolar RNA R71". It matches the Rfam family "Plant small nucleolar RNA R71". Rfam says of the family: R71 is a member of the C/D box family of snoRNAs containing the C (UGAUGA) and D (CUGA) box motifs. Multiple nearly identical copies of this snoRNA have been identified in Arabidopsis, and it is thought to function as a 2'-O-ribose methylation guide for 18S ribosomal RNA. The record is from Rfam by way of RNAcentral. Lineage: Eukaryota; Viridiplantae; Streptophyta; Magnoliopsida; Malvales; Malvaceae.
AAUACAUGGUGAUGGCAUCUUCUCAAAAGGUCCUUCUAUCUCUCCCAUGCAUCAUAGAGUGUGUCUAAAACCAUAUGUACAAAAGAAGAGAUAUCAUUACGUAAUU